GAUGAACGCUGGCGGCGUGCCUAAUACAUGCCAGUCGAGCGAACAGACGAGGAUCUUGCUCCUCUGACGUUAGCGGCGGACGGGUGAUUAACACGUGGAUAACCUACCUAUAAGACUGGGAUAACUUCGGGAAACCGGAGCUCAUACCGGAUAAUAUAUUGAACCGCAUGGAUCAUUAGUGAAAGACGGUUUUGCUGUCACUUAUAGAUGGAUCCGCGCCGGAUUAGCUAGUUGGUAAGGUAACGGCCUACCAAGGCAACGAUGCGUAGCCGACCUGAGAGGGUGAUCGGCCACACUGGAACUGAGACACGGUCCAGACUCCUACGGGAGGCAGCAGUAGGGAAUCUUCCGCAAUGGGCGAAAGCUUGACGGAGCAACGCCGCGUGAGUGAUGAAGGUCUUCGGAUCGUAAAGCUCUGUUAUUAGGGAAGAACAAAUGUGUAAGUAACUAUGCACGUCUUGACGGUACCUAAUCAGAAAGCCACGGCUAACUACGUG
This 497-nucleotide ribosomal RNA is filed under the name uncultured bacterium. RNAcentral's name for it is "partial 16S ribosomal RNA". It matches the Rfam family "Bacterial small subunit ribosomal RNA", at positions 28 to 507 of the family's 1533-position model. The record is from RNAcentral.